GCAGCAUUCCGAGCUCCGCGAUCUCCUCCAGAAACAGGGGCGUCAAUGGCGGAGCAGCCAGCGGCAGAGGCUGCAGAGUGAAUUUCAACAGCCAGGGAAGGUUCGGAAGUAGUCAUAUCUAUGAUGACGCCGCCUUGACGCAGACCGGAAAGAGCGCCGGAGUUUGGGUCGAGGAUUACCUGGCGAACGUCAGAAGGGUAGCCAACGAUAGAGAAAACGACGUCGGAUUGAGAAGCGACGGCCUUUGGAGUGUCAACCCAGUGGGCUCCCAUGGAGAUAAGUUCCUGAGCCUUGGAUGGAGUCCGAGUGAAGACAGUGAGGGUGUAUCCGGCGUUAAUCAGGUGGGCGCACAUAGAGCGGCCCAUUACUCCGGUACCGAUCCAUCCCAGACGAGUAUUGGAUGGGUCAACGGCUGUUGCCAUAGUACGGCAGAGAUGGGUG
RNAcentral lists this unclassified non-coding RNA (441 nucleotides) under Hevea brasiliensis (rubber tree). Lineage: Eukaryota; Viridiplantae; Streptophyta; Magnoliopsida; Malpighiales; Euphorbiaceae. The record is from RNAcentral.